Molecule: RNA transcript, 1144 nt
Organism: Rhineura floridana
Lineage: Eukaryota; Metazoa; Chordata; Lepidosauria; Squamata; Rhineuridae
Gene name: chorion class A protein L11-like
Exons: 2
Source: RefSeq, a predicted model, not a curated record
UGUUGUCACCUAUGAUUAACCUGUCACAGAAUGGGUAUAAAAGUGCUCAGUCUUCUUCCAUCCCUUCAGCAACUUCUCACUAUCAGGCACUUGCUCUUGAUCUCCAGUUGACUAGAUUCAUCCCCAUCACUCAACAUGUCUGGUUGCUGGUCAUAUUGUGAACCUACUUGCGCCAUUCCAUCCUGUGCCUCCGCUCCGACAAUUGGCCUUGGGCCAUGUGGAGUUGGUGGCUAUGGAGGCGGCUAUGGAGGCAGCAUUGGUAGCGGCUAUGGAGGAGGCGUUGGUGGUGGCAGACUUGUUGGAGGUGGCGGCGUGCCAGCAAGCAGUCUCGGAAUAUAUCCUGGGGCCAAUGUUGGAUGCAUCAGCCAGGUCCCACCAGCAGAGGUCGUGAUCCAGCCACCUUCCUUCACUGUGACCGUCCCAGGACCCAUCCUCUCUGCCAGCUGUGACCCCGUGUCCGUUGGAGGCUACACUCCAUGUGCUGAUGGAUAUUAUGGUUCCGGCUAUCCUUACAGAGGAUACCUUGGGGGUGGCUACAAAGGUUCUGGCCGGUCAAAACGUGUCUGUGGAUAUCCCUGUUAAACCCAGGAAGACUAGAGCCAGCCAUGUUUUUGAAAACCAUCAUAUGGCCACUUGACAAAUGUUAUGGACCAUUCCUUCAGAAAUGCUGAGCAUCUGCAGUUCCAACAAAUGGGUGUGACAAUGGGGGGUGCUCAGCAUCUCUGAAGAUGAGAUUUAUCUGUGACUUACACUGUGGGUGGGCAUAGCCAAUUAUGAUGUUCUCCAAAUGUUGUUGAGCUACAACUUCCAUUAUCCCUGACCACUGCAGUCCUGGUAGCUGGAGCUGAUGGGAGUUGGAGUCCAACAACCACUGGAGGGCACUAUGUUGGCUAGCCCUGCACUAUGCUUCUCCUGAGAUGUAUAUUUACUUUUCUUUGUAAAGUUCUUUCCUUACACCUGUGCAAUUGCCUUUACUAAAACCAUGUCCCUACUUCUCUGUAAAUGCAAUGAUUAUGGUGAGCAAUUCAGUGUCAUUCAUAAUUGUUGGUUUUGUUGCAUCGAAAUGUCAUUCAGCUUGAACUGAGUGUGGAUCCUUGUGGUUUAGUUCUUUCACCUUUCCAAUAAACCUUUUCUUGCAUCAGAA